RNAcentral lists this ribosomal RNA (119 nucleotides) under Pteropus alecto (black flying fox). The record is from RNAcentral. Lineage: Eukaryota; Metazoa; Chordata; Mammalia; Chiroptera; Pteropodidae.
GGCUACAGCCAUGCCACCCUGAAUGUGCCCGAUCUCGUCUGAUCUUGGAAGCUAAGCAGGGUCGGGCCUGGUUAGUACUUGGAUGGGAGACCACCUAGGAAUAUCAGGUGCUAUAGGCA